AUUGAACGCUGGCGGCAGGCCUAACACAUGCAAGUCGAACGAGUGGCGGACGGGUGAGUAAUGUCUGGGAAACUGCCCGAUGGAGGGGGAUAACUACUGGAACCGGUAGCUAAUACCGCAUACCAUAGUAUGUGCCCAGACGGGAUUGGCGAGUAGGUGGGGUAGCGGCUCACCUAGGCGACGAUCCCUCGCGGGUCUGAGAGGAUGACCAGCCACACUGGAACUGAGACACGGUCCAGACUCCUACGGGAGGCAGCAGUGGGGAAUAUUGCACAAUGGGCGCAAGCCUGAUGCAGCCAUGCCGCGUGUAUGAAGAAGGCCUUCGGGUUGUAAAGUACUUUCAGCGGGGAGGCGUUACUCGCAGAAGAAGCACCGGCUAACUCCGUGCCAGCAGCCGCGGUAAUAC
RNAcentral lists this ribosomal RNA (406 nucleotides) under uncultured bacterium. RNAcentral's name for it is "partial 16S ribosomal RNA". It matches the Rfam family "Bacterial small subunit ribosomal RNA", at positions 30 to 526 of the family's 1533-position model. The record is from RNAcentral.